This 395-nucleotide ribosomal RNA is filed under the name uncultured bacterium. Its description in RNAcentral is "bacterial SSU rRNA". It matches the Rfam family "Bacterial small subunit ribosomal RNA", at positions 358 to 770 of the family's 1533-position model. The record is from RNAcentral.
GGAAUAUUGGACAAUGGGCGAAAGCCUGAUCCAGCAAUGCCGCGUGAGUGAUGAAGGCCUUAGGGUUGUAAAGCUCUUUUACCAGGGAUGAUAAUGACAGUACCUGGAGAAUAAGCUCCGGCUAACUCCGUGCCAGCAGCCGCGGUAAUACGGAGGGUGCGAGCGUUAAUCGGAAUUACUGGGCGUAAAGCGUGCGUAGGCGGUUAGUUAAGUCGGAUGUGAAAGCCCCGGGCUCAACCUGGGAAGGUCAUUCGAUACUGGUUAACUGGAGUCUGGCAGAGGCUGGCGGAAUUCCCGGUGUAGCGGUGAAAUGCGUAGAUAUCGGGAGGAACAUCAGUGGCGAAGGCGGCCGGCUGGGUCAAGACUGACGCUGAGGCACGAAAGCGUGGGUAGCA